Lactuca sativa (garden lettuce) is the source of this 2348-nucleotide non-coding RNA. The record is from RefSeq and is a predicted model, not a curated record. Lineage: Eukaryota; Viridiplantae; Streptophyta; Magnoliopsida; Asterales; Asteraceae.
UACUAUUUAGACUUUAAAUUUGUAUCAUUAUUUACGGCAGCUUCCAACAACUUAAAUCAUAUAUUUAAAUUCAAUCCCGUUAAAUCAGCAAUUCUUAUUCCUUGAGUUAGAUAAGCAUCCCCGUUACAAUUUCAAAAUCUCAUAUACUCCUGUGGAUCUCUUCUCCUUUUCUCGCGCUAAAGUCCGAUCUCCAUCUCUACUCUUCAAAGCUACAAAAUAAACAUCUCUCAGCUUCACCCUCUUUUAAAAUAACAAUUUUUCUCACAUCUUUCGUCCCCCCUUCUCCCAUGUCACUCCAUUUUCUUUCCUAUAAUUGAAACACCAAGGAUGGAUGACCUCACCGAUUUCUUUAUUUUUAUUUUUUUAUUUUGAUUUAUGGAUCGAAACAUCAUGUAAAUAGUUUGAUUUUCGUGUGUGUUUUUUAUGGUGUUUAGACGAUGUAUCAUGUGUUCGAUUUUUUUUUUGUCAAUCUUCUAUUUUUGCUUCUUAAUUUAUUGAGUUUGAGAUUGAAGUAAGCGAUCUCCAAAUGUUUGGUUUAACUGAGUCGCUGAUGUUUUCCAUAAAUACAAGGUAAUAGCUCCUCUUCCCCAUUACUUAUGUGAUUUCCUUUACUUCAUCAGAUUUCCGACUCUAUUUUUGUUGGUUCUAUGAACUAAAAUCAAACUAAAGUUUUUACUUUGAUCUUGAACCAAUCCUCACCAGAAUUGGAAGGGAUUAUUCCCGCACCCGACGGACUCAUCAUAUAGAUUUCGUGUCUUUGUUGGUUCGCAUCCGAUAAAGAGUUCAUUUGUAAAAUCAAAUCGCGUCUCAUGAAAUCAAGUUGCUUUUUUAUGUAGCAACAAGCAAUUGAUGUAGUAGUAAUUGGUGCUUAAUGGUAUGCAUAAUAGGUGUUUGAUAAAAUGCCCGGUAGAAAUGAUUAUGAAUGUUCCAAGAAAAAUUGUUUUCUUCUAAGCUGUAGAUUCCAAGGUGUUGGGAUUCGGGUGGAGAUGUAAGUUGUACUUUGAAACAUUUGAAAAAUAACCCCCAAUAAAAGCAGAAAACUUGAAGCAAGAAUUAAUGAUGACUGCUGAUACUUUCACUUUAAAAUGGAUAUGCGACCUACUUUUUCUCUCCCCACUCUUUCUAAUCUUGAUAUUAUUAUAAUGUAUGGUGGGUUUAUGAUCAUUAAUCCAUUAGUGGGAAAGGUUGGUAUUUAAUUAAUUGAUAAAAUGAAAUUUGAUAUUGCAUUUGAUAACAGGGGGUGUAAUGUGAAUAAUACUUGGUUGAAAACUAAUAUGGAGUGUUUAUAGUGCUACGUUUUUUUAGCUAAUGGUAGCUCUUCUGUAAUCCAGGUGUAGAUCAAGCUCAAGAACAAAGUGAGUUAUUUGCAUGUUUGACUAACAUUUAAAUAGUGGCAGGUUUUGCAUCUGAUUUUUAUCAAUAGAGCAUAUUCUGGUAAAUUUGGUUAAAUUCAUCACUAACAUACUUAAAAUAUUUGAUGCAUGAUGAGUUUUUGGUUCUCAAUGACUUUAAAUCUUAUGUAUUUCCUCCGUGUAUUGGAAUGUAAAACAAUUAAUAAGUUUUUAUACUGAUUCUUUUUUUUUUGGUUGGGUUUCUGAGAAUCAGAUCAUAUUUUGUAGUUGUAAACCUUUUAAUAUGAGAUUGAUUAAAAGGUGCAUCCGUGCAUGAACUUGUUAAGUGCUUUAUUUUCAGAUGAGAUAGCAUUGAAGCUGAUUAUCUGAGUCUGCAAAAUUAUGGCAACAGAAAGGUUUAUUAGAUAGGCUAUAAAAUGAAUUAUGAGUGUCUACAGAGGCAAUUUGAAGUUGCACGUACUUCAUAAACUCAAAGGCAUGUUUAUUUACAUUUUUAUCUUUUAUGGCCACACAUUUAGUUAUGUUUAGAUGAUAUUGCUUUGUUUAAGAUGAUUCUACUUUGUUUUAUAAAAAGUUUGUUUAGAUACAGAUCAGUGGAAUGUUGGUUUAUUAGCAACAAUAAUAGAGCAAACAUGAUUUCUUUAUUUUUCUUUGCACAAUUCAUAUUUCAUUUAAACAGGGGUAUUUUGGUCUUUUAACAAAUAAGAAAAGUAAUGGAAUUUAUAUCCUUUCAAGUGUUAUAUUGUGGUUUUUAAUUUUUAUACCUGCAUGUUAUAUCAGGUUCAUAUUGAGGCGGAAAGAAAGUUAAUAUCGUUGCCUAUGGAUGCAAGCAUGCUGUCAGUCUCUUUAAUUUCUAUAUUAUUUAAAUUUGUCAACCAAUGUAGUGCAUAUGUAAUUAUUGUAGAAAUUCAAGACUAAGAGCAGGGCCCGGCUCUACAUCAUGAAAAAUUAAGCAAGGGCUUAGGGCCCCUAAUUCUAAAGGGCCCCAAUUUCAAA